This is a long non-coding RNA of Mangifera indica (mango), 1362 nucleotides long. RefSeq lists it as uncharacterized. Lineage: Eukaryota; Viridiplantae; Streptophyta; Magnoliopsida; Sapindales; Anacardiaceae. The record is from RefSeq and is a predicted model, not a curated record. The transcript has 2 exons.
UUAGUCGUGACGACGCAAGCAUUUACAUAACCUAAUUCUAUCGUCUAUAUUCGCUCCUGAAACUUCACGCUUCCUCUCCAUCGGUUUCUUUAUCUCUCUACGAUUCACAAAUCAUCCAGAUCAGAUCUUCUGACUUACUAGAAAAAAAAAUAUGGUUGAAGCAGAGGAGCUGAUUGAAGAUUAUUGGCCUUUCGAAUCCAGAAAAUUUCUGGUGACAAAUCUUUCUUAUGCGUUGAAAGAUGUCAAUACAUCCAUGGUUGGAGUUUCCGGCAUGGGUGGAGUGGGGAAGAAUACUUUUUCUAAAGAAGUUGGUAGGGAAGUAAUUGAAUAUCUUCUCAAGGGUUUUGUAAAGGCAUCGAAAACUCAGAAUCUAGAUCAGAUUCAAAAAACUAGCAUGCAAGAGCUAGAUCUUAUAAUAUUAAUUAAGGGUACCAAGGUACUCUUAAUUUUAGAUGAUGUGUGGAAUGAUCUAGAUCUGAGUAUGGUUGAAAUUCCUCCUCAAGCCUAGAGCCUUUUCAGGAAAACUCCAGGUGAUGUUAUUGGAUCACUUGGAAUGAAUUCAAUAUUAGAUGUAUGCAAGGAAUGUGGAGGGUUACCUAUUGUCAUUUGUACUAUAGCAAGAGCAUUAAAGAACAAGACAUAUCGGUUUGAAUGACAAGGUGCCUUACAAGAAUUGAGAAUGCCUACACCAACAAAGUUCAUACAUUUUCCAGAAGAUCAUGAAAUCAAAUAUAUUUUUUUAUGUACUUGAAGGAGUUAACCUUAUAAUGGAAUAAACAUAAAAUAGACUAGAUAAAGUGGUUGUGAACUCAAAGACUCUUGAUUGGUAUUCGACAAUAUAAAAUAGAUAAAGUGGUUGGUGAACUCAAGGACCCUUGUUUGUUACUCAGUGAAGCAGACUAGGCAAAUUGGUUCAUGAGCUCAAAGACUCUUGAUUGUUACUUACAAUUGUAUUAGUUUUACAACAUUCUACCCAUGAUGUUGUUCAUGAUGUUAUGAUAACAAUUAGCUUUCAGCCUUGUGGUUAUCUGGAGCUUGAAUUUUUCUACUAAUGUGGAGGCUCUUUAAACUUUUCGGAUAAUUUUUUCAAGGUGAUUUGUAAGCUGAAAGUUUUAAAUUUGUUUAUGAUGUUGCUACCAUUGUUACUGAUAUUAUCAUAGAACCGAAGAAACUAAAAGUCCUCAGUUAGGAGUCAAGUAUCAGGUUGAUUGACUUAACCAAGUUGUUAGAUUCAAACAAAUGGGAGCAAUUUGAAGUGUUUGCACCAUAUGUAAUAUUAAGCUUAUAUUGAAAUAAGUGUACAAGGGGAAAGCUCUGUUGAAUGCAAAUGUAAUGGCAAAUGGUGUGCUCUGUUAAGAUUUA